GAAUGAACGCUGGCGGCGCGCCUAAUACAUGCAAGUCGAGCGAGAAGACGUAGCAAUACGUUUGUAAAGCGGCGAACGGGUGAGGAAUACAUGGGUAACCUACCCUCGAGUGGGGAAUAACUAGCCGAAAGGUUAGCUAAUACCGCGUACGCUUCUUGGACUUCGGUUCAGGGAGGAAAGCGAUACCGUGGGUAUCGCGCUCUUGGAUGGGCUCAUGUCCUAUCAGCUUGUUGGUGAGGUAACGGCUCACCAAGGCUUCGACGGGUAGCUGGUCUGAGAGGACGAUCAGCCACACUGGCACUGCGACACGGGCCAGACUCCUACGGGAGGCAGCAGUAAGGAAUAUUGCGCAAUGGGCGAAAGCCUGACGCAGCGACGCCGCGUGGGGGAUGAAGGUCUUCGGAUUGUAAACCCCUUUC
This 419-nucleotide ribosomal RNA is filed under the name uncultured bacterium. RNAcentral describes it as "bacterial SSU rRNA". It matches the Rfam family "Bacterial small subunit ribosomal RNA", at positions 27 to 437 of the family's 1533-position model. The record is from RNAcentral.